This 465-nucleotide ribosomal RNA is filed under the name Vreelandella stevensii. RNAcentral's name for it is "partial 16S ribosomal RNA". It matches the Rfam family "Bacterial small subunit ribosomal RNA", at positions 338 to 795 of the family's 1533-position model. The record is from RNAcentral. Lineage: Bacteria; Pseudomonadati; Pseudomonadota; Gammaproteobacteria; Oceanospirillales; Halomonadaceae.
CCUACGGGUGGCAGCAGUGGGGAAUAUUGGACAAUGGGGGCAACCCUGAUCCAGCCAUGCCGCGUGUGUGAAGAAGGCCCUCGGGUUGUAAAGCACUUUCAGUGAGGAAGAACGCCUGGUGGUUAAUACCCAUCAGGAAAGACAUCACUCACAGAAGAAGCUCCGGCUAACUCCGUGCCAGCAGCCGCGGUAAUACGGAGGGUGCGAGCGUUAAUCGGAAUUACUGGGCGUAAAGCGCGCGUAGGUGGCUUGAUAAGCCGGUUGUGAAAGCCCCGGGCUCAACCUGGGAACGGCAUCCGGAACUGUCAAGCUAGAGUGCAGGAGAGGUAGGUAGAAUUCCCGGUGUAGCGGUGAAAUGCGUAGAGAUCGGGAGGAAUACCAGUGGCGAAGGCGGCCUUCUGGACUGACACUGACACUGAGGUGCGAAAGCGUGGGUAGCAAACAGGAUUAGAUACCCCGGUAGUC